GACGAACGCUGGCGGCGUGCUUAACACAUGCAAGUCGAACGGAAAGGCCCUGCUUUUGUGGGGUGCUCGAGUGGCGAACGGGUGAGUAACACGUGAGUAACCUGCCCUUGACUUUGGGAUAACUUCAGGAAACUGGGGCUAAUACCGGAUAGGAGCUCCUGCUGCAUGGUGGGGGUGGGAAAGUUUCGGCGGUUGGGGAUGGACUCGCGGCUUAUCAGCUUGUUGGUGGGGUAGUGGCUUACCAAGGCUUUGACGGGUAGCCGGCCUGAGAGGGUGACCGGCCACAUUGGGACUAAGGUACGGCCCAGACUCCUACGGGAGGCAGCAGUGGGGAAUAUUGCACAAUGGGCGGAAGCCUGAUGCAGCCACGCCGCGUGCGGGAUGACGGCCUUCGGGUUGUAAACCGCUUUCGCCUGUGACGAAGCGUGAGUGACGGUAAUGGGUAAAGAAGCACCGGCUAACUACGUG
RNAcentral lists this ribosomal RNA (468 nucleotides) under uncultured bacterium. Its description in RNAcentral is "partial 16S ribosomal RNA". It matches the Rfam family "Bacterial small subunit ribosomal RNA", at positions 28 to 507 of the family's 1533-position model. The record is from RNAcentral.